Molecule: long non-coding RNA, 1653 nt
Organism: Armigeres subalbatus
Lineage: Eukaryota; Metazoa; Arthropoda; Insecta; Diptera; Culicidae
Exons: 3
Source: RefSeq, a predicted model, not a curated record
GUUGUGUUGGAUUGGAAGUGAAGUUGCUUUGACGGUAAUUUUCGGUGUUUUCUCGCGGCUUUGAUAGUUUGGUUUAAUAAAUAGUUUAACGCAUUUAAUUCGUGUGUAUUUGGUCAAAAGAAUGUGUUUUCGUGAAAUUCAUCGGAAUGGAUAAACAGGAGAUCCGAACGGAUUUUUCACCUGAAGUGUGGGUUUGAUUUUCGGCGACGGCGGCGAAGCAAAAUAAGAGUGAAUUUCAGGCAAUGGAAUUCAGCAGGCCGAUUCUGUAUGCAAUCCUCAGAAUGGGAUACAGAGUGCCUAAUCCAGUACAGCGUAAAUGGAUACGGGUAAAUCCGAUCGAUCCGAUGGAUUAGCGUUUCGCGGAUUUCGACGACGACGGCAAUGGAGAAAAAGGACUGAUUUCAGACCAUGGGGCUGUGCAUGCAGAUCCUGAGGACAAUUCUUAAAAUGUGAUACGUGCCACUUCAAAUGCUGCGCAAAACUGUCCCACUAAUUUGGGGAAUCGCGAUGUGGUUGCAAUGGCCAUGAUAGGCUCGGGUGAAACCGGUUGCUUUUGCAUUCCGCUGUUCGAGAAACUAAAACGACGAGCGAUCAAGUUCUCUGCUAGUGCGUUAAUACUGGCUCACGAGGGGAUGUUUUCGAAUUUUAAAACGAUUCUAGCACUUGCUGCCGGAUGUGAUCGUUUCUAUACGCCAGGUCGAAACCUAGCGGUGGUACACUGUGCGUUUGACGAAGGUGACCGUCUUUUCGAGAUGUGUUUCGGCGAGAGGAAGACUAUCCGAAGGUGGCCCCAAACGAAACAGAUGGUCUGGUUCUCCGCAAGUUGUUGGUCAACUUAACGAAGGCUGGCUUGAGCGAACUAACGCUGAUCCGUUUGAAGAACAAUGUAAUGAAUAAGGCUAAAGACGGAGCGGCAUCUGCGUUGUCUUCUUUUUGCUCGGUCCAUAACUGCACCUCGCCAACUACGCAGUCUACCGUUAAUCAUCUUCCUGACCGUUCUUCUCAUGUCCGUCAAAGAGCGGGCGUAACCGUUUGACGUGACGCUACCGAGCCGCUCGGCUAUGUUGUUUUCCACGAUUGCUGUCAGUCCCCAAACGACAAUCAAAUUAUUCUGGUCCUGUUGGAGGACGGUAUCGAUCAUUAGCUGGAGAAGUAUCCGAAGAUGCCGGGAACUCCUCUGAAACCCAUGUUGGCUCAUCCCAAAAAAGGUGUACAGGAAGAGUUAGAGCGUUUAGAUGGAAUUAAUUUUACCUGCAAAUGGAAGUACGGUUGGUUACCCGAUUGACUAACACACGUGAAAAGCGCGAUCUUCGAUUGCGAAGCUGUAUCAGGAAAAGAAGCAAAUUCUACCCUUCCAUAUCCUUAGCUAGCACCCCCAAAUCAUCUGAAACCGACCUGCGGGUUUCGAGUAAGAAGCCGCUCACUUUUCGCCUCAUCGGAAGCUCAUAUUCACGAUGGUUUUUUUGGCCUGGCUGAAAUAUUGCCAUUACAUUUCAGAACUGCGGAUAGACUGAUCAGGACAACGCAUCAAAAAUUAAACAAACGAAAAAUGGUCACUGAAUUACACUGGGCCGCUUCAGCUGGAUAUGAAAAUCCAUCUGUGGGCAUAACACUAUGUUAAUAAUUGAAAUUUUUAUUAUAAAAUGAAUAGAA